CAGGAUGAACGCUAGCGACAGGCUUAACACAUGCAAGUCGAGGGGUAACAGGGUAGCAAUACCGCUGACGACCGGCGCACGGGUGAGUAACGCGUAUGCAACCUGCCUAUAACUGGGGAAUAGCUCCCUGAAAGGGGGAAUUAACACCGCAUAACACUAUUGAUUCGCAUGGAUUAGUAGUUAAAUGUAGCGAUACAGGUUAUAGAUGGGCAUGCGUGACAUUAGCUAGUUGGUGAGGUAACGGCUCACCAAGGCUACGAUGUCUAGGGGUUCUGAGAGGAAGGUCCCCCCACACUGGUACUGAGACACGGACCAGACUCCUACGGGAGGCAGCAGUGAGGAAUAUUGGUCAAUGGGCGCAAGCCUGAACCAGCCAUGUCGCGUGCAGGAAGAACCUGCCCUAUGGGUUGUAAACUGCUUUUAUAGUAGAAGAAACACAUCUACGUGUAGAUGUCUGCCAGUAUACUAUGAAUAAGCAUCGGCUAACUCCGUGCCAGCCGCCGC
RNAcentral lists this ribosomal RNA (504 nucleotides) under uncultured bacterium. Its description in RNAcentral is "bacterial SSU rRNA". It matches the Rfam family "Bacterial small subunit ribosomal RNA", at positions 25 to 518 of the family's 1533-position model. The record is from RNAcentral.